GACGAACGCUGGCGGCGGGCCUAAUACAUGCAAGUCGAACGGAAAGGCCCUUCUUAUGAGGGGUGCUAGAGUGGCGAAAGGGUGAGUAACACGUGAGUAACCUGCCCUCGACAUGGGGAUAACUUCAGGAAACUGGGGCUAAUACCGGAUAGGACCUCCAGAUGCAUGGUGGGGGUCGGAAAGUCUCGGCGGUUGGCGAUGGAGUAGCGGGUUAUGAUCCUGUUGGUGGGGUAGAGGUUUACCAAGGCUUUGACGGAAAGCCGGCCUGAGAGGGUGGCCGGCCACAUUGGGAUUUAGACACGGCCCAGAAUCCGACGGGAAGCAGCAGUGAGGAAUAUUACACUGUGGGCGGAAUCCUGAUGCAACAACGCCGGGUGCGGGAUAACGGCCUUCCUGUUGUAAACCGCUUUCACCAGUGACGAAGCGUGAGUGACGGUAAGAGGUAAAUAAGCACCGGCUAACUACGUG
Molecule: ribosomal RNA, 468 nt
Filed under: uncultured bacterium
Lineage: Bacteria
Description: partial 16S ribosomal RNA
Rfam family: Bacterial small subunit ribosomal RNA
Source: RNAcentral